This 579-nucleotide long non-coding RNA is filed under the name Homo sapiens (human). Its description in RNAcentral is "HSALNT0012986". Lineage: Eukaryota; Metazoa; Chordata; Mammalia; Primates; Hominidae. The record is from RNAcentral.
CUUGGGCAGUGUACGGGACGACAGUGCCUAGCAGAGGAGCUUCACUGCCGGUGAGGGAUUACCUCAGAAACUUCCUUCUACUACUUAAAGUCCUCACAUUGGGCUGACCUGGGAAACAUGAAGAUAAAAAGAGUGGGUAAACAUGCCUGCUUGAUGAGCCAGAAAAAAAGGCAGAAACCUGUGGUCUGGGUAGAACAGAUCCUGCUCAGAAUGUAUAAACCAGGAAAAGUUGUUCUGGCCCCUCAUCUGGUUUCAUGAAGGACAAUAUCUAGCAUGAGAGUGACAGGGGUUAGAAUAAUGGACAUUUUGGGGACUGGGUCCUAGCAGAAAUGAUGGAAUAAUGGAACAGGAGUUUGGAUGAAUGGGCAUAUUAUGGGAUUAAAGAAGAUUUGAAUACAAGCUUUCCUAAUAAAUGAAAGGGGAGGUGAAACUAGAGCAUGCUGAUGGCUGCACAGCAUUGUGAAUGCACUAAAUGCACUAACUGUCCACUUUAAAAUGUUUAGUAAUAUGUCGAUUUUACCUAAAUAAAAAAAAGGAAGCAACAUAGUGAGUCAUCGUCUCUAUAACAAUUUUAUUCAG